Molecule: ribosomal RNA, 370 nt
Filed under: uncultured organism
Description: partial 16S ribosomal RNA
Rfam family: Bacterial small subunit ribosomal RNA
Source: RNAcentral
AGAGAGUGCAAGCGUUAAUCGGAAUUACUGGGCGUAAAGCGCACGUAGGUGGAUAUUUAAGUCGGAUGUGAAAGCCCUGGGCUUAACCUAGGAAUUGCACCCGAUACUGGAUAUCUAGAGUAUGGUAGAGGGUAGUGGAAUUUCCGGUGUAGCGGUGAAAUGCGUAGAUAUCGGAAGGAACACCAGUGGCGAAGGCGGCUACCUGGAUCAAUACUGACACUGAGGUGCGAAAGCGUGGGGGAGCAAACAGGAUUAGAGACCCUGGUAGUCCACGCCGUCAACGAUGAGAACUAGCUGUUGGGAGGGACUUCCUCUUAGUAGCGAAGCUAACGCGUUAAGUUCUCCGCCUGGGAGUACGGCCGCAAGGUUA